CGAGACGGCAUCUUCGUGACGCCUUAGUGCAACCACGAGGACUUUUUGCUGCAGUCUGAAAAGCACGGCCAUCGAUGCGGGCAGCUGGCGUCCAGGCGCCGGCCGAAAGGGGAAAACGCCGAAGCGGAAAGGCGAGGUUGCCUUCUGCAGUACUGCUCUAAAUCUCUUGACAUGGUGUGGGGUCCUAAAACAAAAUGGACAAGUUGGUCCUCAACUUCACAUGGAACUGAAAGGGGCCCAGAAUAUCAAAACAAUCUUGAAAAAGAACUAACUUGGAGGACUCAUGCUUCCUGAUUUCAAACUUAC
Choloepus didactylus (southern two-toed sloth) is the source of this 306-nucleotide long non-coding RNA. RefSeq lists it as uncharacterized. The record is from RefSeq and is a predicted model, not a curated record. Lineage: Eukaryota; Metazoa; Chordata; Mammalia; Pilosa; Megalonychidae. The transcript is spliced from 3 exons.